Long non-coding RNA from Acinonyx jubatus (cheetah), 9121 nucleotides. RefSeq lists it as uncharacterized. Lineage: Eukaryota; Metazoa; Chordata; Mammalia; Carnivora; Felidae. The record is from RefSeq and is a predicted model, not a curated record. The transcript is spliced from 2 exons.
GUGACCCUAGCCACAGCCCCUCCAUCCCCGCACUCCUGGCCCUCCGCCUCCAUCUCUGAGCUCCCGGCACAACCCCCACCCCGCCAAGGCGUCAGGACUCCCACAGCCCCCUCCCUCCCUGAGCGUCACCCUAUGGGCGGGAGUGGGAGCCCCAGGACCAGGGGUUGGGGGCAUAGAGACAAGGAUGUGGGGGCGGGAUUCCAGGGAGACUACUGGGCUCUGACGCCCCCUCCCCCAACAGGCUGGCCCCAGGACCUUUCCCAGGCCCUGGAGGGCAAAGCCUCAUGCCUUAGAUCCCCUCCCUAGGCCUGGGCAGGGGCAUCCCCUAGGCGCUGGGCUCAAAAGGCUCUUUGUGAGCUGUGCCCCCCACUCCCCAAGCCUCCAGCGGGGUCCUGGAAAAGGGCGGGUGCAGAGGCUGGGACUGUGGCUGCUUGUCUGGACCAGGCCGAGGGGCGUGGGGAGAGCACCCCUAGUCCUUUCAUUGGGUUUGGGGCAGGGGGUGGGGGGCGCGUCCAGGCUCAUGUGCUUUUCACUGCACUGCCCAGGGUGGGGAAGGGAAGCUGGCUGGAGGAGGGCUCUAUCAAUAUCUGCAAAUAGUGGGUUCUGGAAGCUGGGUUGGGGAGGGUAGCUUGGAUGUAAGUCAGAAUGGUGGCACCUGAGCUGGAGUGCCAUGAGAAGCAGAGGUGGGUCUCAGCCAGCCCUAGUAGCUGGAGGUCAGGUGACUCUCCUGGCUCUGGAAGACUCCCUAGAAGGCCUGUGGGCAGGAAUACUACCCCAGAGAGACCCCUCCAUGGCCCCCCAGAACUGGCACUGCCCCAUUCCCAUAGCAUUCCUUGCCACUCCUGGGACACCAGUCAUGACCUGCCUUGAUGGGGAGCUGUGGAUACUGGCGGGUCACCUCCCCGGGCAGGGCAGGUACUGAAGAUCCAGGCCUCCGGGUGCUGAGGAGAUAGGCACAGGGUCUUGGGAAAGUUUGGAAGAGUUUCUGCCAGUCCAGGGAGGAGAGAGAAGUUGCUGGAAGAGUUGGCUUGCUCAGCACUAAAGGGAAGAGCACUCUAGGUAGAGGGAAUGGCUGGAGCAGAGGCUGUGAGAUGUGAGCACCUGGUCGGGGUGGAGAGUUGUGGAGGGGGGGGGGCUGGUCAGGCACGGGAGUGACCCAUGUGAACGAAGGGAAGGAGGGCCAGGUGGAGGUGAGGUGUCAGGCCAUCCCAGCGAGCUGGCACAAGCAAGCUCCCAAGGACAGCGAGGAGCUGAUAGGGGGGCAGUGCUGCCAUCUGGCUCGGCAGCCCCUCUGGAGUCUGCCCAGGGUUCCUGCUGUGGUCAGGGCUGUUUGACCCACAUCUGCCGGUGGCUGGACCACCCCACGCAAGUCUGCUUUCUGAGUCUCAGUGUCCACAUCUGUCAAACGGGGAGACUCCUCCACAGGGUUGUGGGGAGAUCUGCAUGAGGUGAUGAGUGUAGGGAGCCCAGCACCUGAGGCCUCGGAAAAUCCUUGGCCGCUGUGCCAGUAUGUUUACCUGGAAAACGGGGGCAUUGAUGUCAGCUGGUGGGCCAGGCUAACUUUACCCUGUGGCCAUGAGGAUCCUGUGAGGGCUGGAUGUGACCCAGGGAAGCCAGGGCUGGGGGCACUGCAAGUCCGUGUGCUCAUGCUAUUCUGGAAGAAGAGAGAAGCAGUGGGCCGUGGCCGGGGCGGGGUGGUCCUCCUUGUGCCCCUAUGGGCACCUUAGCCAUGGCAUUCAACGGACCCUGCUGUGUUCCUCAAGGCCAAAGCCUCUUUGUUCUCCUUGCUGCACAAUGCACCCCUUCCUCCUAGUCAGCCCUAGCCCUGCACAUGGGGGACCAGGGCUCCCUUCCAGAAGGUUCUUCAGACACUGAGACCAACAAACACAAUAUCUUCCUGUGAGGGGCACUGUCAUGGGCAGCCGGGUGGAGAGGACACAGACCUUAGCCCCAGGAGAAUGGAAUCUAGUUGGGCAGCAAAACCAGUUGGGCCUCCAUGGUCUUGCGUAGCACUGUGCUGGCUGCUUAGGGGUGUGUGGGGGGGGAGGGCCGGGGUUGGGGGUGUGGCGGGCUGGGCGUUGCAAUAAUUGCACCUUGGGACAGUCAAGGGCAGAAGUUAAAAGCAAGGACUCCAGAUUCAGUGGCCCAGGUUCAAAUCUCAACUCUGCCACUUCUUGUGUGAACGUGGACUGGUGACUCUGCCUCUCUGUGCCUCUGUUUCCUUGCCUCUAAAAUGGGAACGAGGCACACUAGUGCUAUUUGAACAGCUUGGUUCAGUUUCUAGUGGGCAUUUAUGCCCCCUUUUCCAGAAUGGGUCUCCCAGUUCACCCCUGCGUCCUGGAAGACUACACAGCCUGCUCCAGUAGGCUAUUGUCUUCCUCUUGUGUGUGAGUCCCUAUAGGCGGGGGCCUGCCUUUCUGUGUCCGUUGCUUGGGCAGGGGGCAAUGGUGUGCUGGCAACAGGCCCUCUGGGAGAAAAAGGUACCUGAUAAACAGCGUUGGCAGGUUUCCACGGUGUAAAUCUUCCAGCAAGGCCCAUUUGAGGCUACCAACAGCUUAACCUUCUCGCAGUGGGAGCUGGUCCAUGCCAGUUUUAGCACCCAGGCAUUCAGUAGGUGCCUUAUAAAGGAUGGUUGAAUAAGGAGAGAAGGCUCCAGAGACUUGGAGAGCUGUCAGGCCAUACUGUAGCUGAGAGAGGGAGGCAUCCGACAGGCUGAGGCCAGGACAAGAGACCACUCUGAAGAAGUAACCCGUGGUGAGAUGGAGGGCAGAGGGGAAGGAGGACUGGUGCCCUCCUUCCUGGGAACCUCUGCACUUCUGACCCUGCGUCACUGCUGCUCUGGAUCCUCUUGACCUUGGCCUGGUUUGGGCUGUCUGCACAGAAUGACCUAACUGGAUCCCAAGCAGUAACCUGACAGAGCUCUGAGAAAUGGUCCAGACGGGUCUCAAACGUCAGAUUCUAUUCCCUUGCUUAUGCUGUUCCCUCUGCCUGAAUGUCUGUUCCACCCACUUCUUCCUAUGUGCCCUGAAACCCUGUCACCCUUCAAAAGCCUCCUCCACCCCAAAUCCCACAGACCCUCCUCCCCUUCUGCUGUUUCUCUGGCCUUGCAGCCCCUCUCGUGUGCACCCUGCCUGCCCAUAAAAAUAUUAGUAGCUAACAUUGCAUCUGGACAGCAACCUGUGAUAGAGAUACCGUGAUAAUCCCUUUUGCAGAUGGGGGAAUGGAGGCUCUGUCUUGUUAAGGACCACCCAUCCUUUGCCUCUCGGCUUCAGCAUCCGUUCGUUGUUCAGAGAGGCUCCUUGCUGUGGGCUGGGCAGAGCACCACUUCUCUUUCUUCAGUGUGUUUGCUGUGGCGUGUUCCACUAGGCCGUGAGUUCCCUAUCCUAUAGGAGCUUGAAUGAAUGAAUGAAUGAAUGAAUGAGUGAAUGACUUCUAGCCCCAGGGAGCAUCCCUGUUCUUUUACCCAUUCCUCCUCCCUUUCCAUCCCUGUGGGAGGAGACUGACCCUCCAGAGGGCAGCCUCACACCAUGGAGGGAUGGUCACAGGGACCCUGCUUAGCCACACCUGCCAGAAGGGAAAGGGAAGUGAGGCUUUGGGCGGGGCUGAAAGCAGGCAUGGUAGAAGGGUAGUGGACCACCCUCCUGUGGUCUAGAGUGGGGCUGACAUGGGCCCACAGCACUGCCUGUAACCCAGGAAGUUAACGGGGUCCCAAAAUACGUUUUCUUGCACCGCCCCAAGUGGAAAGUCCCCUGUUGGCCCACUUAUUUUCGUUUUAUCUAGAAUAAUAAAGUUGGAAAUAAUCAUUCACACACGCUAAUUACUCCGUUGCUUUAUGAAUUUAGAGCCUGUUUGGCUCUAGACUUUGGCUCCUGCUGAAGGAGGAAUCCCCUGGGAGGGGCAGGGUGAGGUGCCAAGGCAGGAGGCCAGAGCCUGCUCUGACGCUGGGGCCUCCUGGGGGUCUGACCUCCAGUUGCCCUCUCCUGGCAGGCUGGGAACUUCCCAGAAGCAGCUGCCCAGAUGGGGGUCUAAGCAAGGGAGGGUGGCCAGAGGCAGUCUCCAGGAUUCUGAUUGACCGGGGCCCAUAAUGGAUGACUUCCCAGGCUGUUCUACCCCACCUUGACCUCUGAGUCAUAAUUUGCUGCUAUUUAUCGAGCACUUACUAUGUGCUGGGCGCUGGGCCAAGCACUUUGUCGGCAUCAUCUCAGCUACGCCUGCUAACGUCCCUUGAAGCAGGUACUAUUAUUCUCCCCAUUUGGCAGUUUGAGGGUGCCUGGGGCCCUGGGCUCAGGGCCGGGAAGUGGCGGGGCUGGGAUUGUAUCCAGCCUGUAGGACCCCCAUAGCCCGAUGGGGCCCCUUGGAUAGGCCCCUCAGUCACUCAAAAUGGAACGGUCUCUGAAGCCUGGACGCCCGAGACAACCACGUCACUGUUGUCCUGGCCUCCAGGCCACCCUCCUUGUGGCCCUGAUUGCCACUCCUUUCUUCCCCAUAGUCCUGGGGCUCUGUCUCUGGAAGCCCCGUGUAGCCUCACCUGGGCGGCUUGGGGAAAAUACAGACUUCCCAGGCCCUGCCACACCCCGCUGAGUCAGAAUCCCACUAUGGGAGAGGGGGCUGGAAACCCAGAUUUUAAAAUGUUGUCCUGGGGAUACAGAGGCUUGCAGACUCCCAGAACCGCUGCCCGGCCCAGUGGAGUUCAGGCUGCUUUAAGAGACUCCCUUGUCCUUAACCCAGAUCCCUAUGACCCUGCCCCUGCUUGUGUUCUCAGGCUCUGCCCCCUGCUACCCUAACCCAGCUCUGCACACAUCACACCAUACUCACCCCCCACACCCCAAUUUGCCUUUAUCCAGGCACCUGAUGCUGCUGUUUCCUUCUGGAAACAGGUCCCACCUGGCCACAGACCCCCACAGAGCUUGUGUAAUACUCUGGACCGGUCGAUCGUGGCCCCACUCUUGCUAACCCGGGCCUGGCACACAGCCUGGGGGAAUCAUGGUGGGUGAGCGAUGGUGGCCGGGGAAGGCGGAACAAGGGAGGGCUGCCCAUGACAGGUGGGGCUUCUAGGCUGGGCACACAGGCGCUCUCUGGGGGCUGGCACCUUGCCUAACAUGCAAAAGGCAUUUGAUGACUGUUUCUUAACUGCUUAAUGAAUGGUGAUGGGUCGUGUGACAGGUGAGGGCCACUUCCGGAAGCAGUACAGAUUGGCCGGUUUAGGCAAAAGAUGGAGAAGGUGCCUUCCAGGCCAUCUCUGAGGACCGUGAAUAUUAAUGGUCCAAACUCAUUUAUGGCUCCGAUGGGAGUGAGGGGCUGGUGCUUUCUUGCUUGAUUUCAUUUCGGUAUCUCAGGAGCCCUGGGAGGGGGUGCUGAUGUAAUCCUAAUUUCGUUCAAUGGAAACUGAGCCCUAGACAGGUGACUUAGUAGGGUCACACAGCUGGGAGGGGUCCUACAGAACGGAGCCUUGCCCAUUGUGCGAAAAAAUAAAUAAAUAAAUGAGUCUGCACUCUACAGUUUCUGAAGCAGUAACACAUUAUCUCAGUUGGUUCUAGCUGUGGCUUGGAGGUGUGGCUCUACAUUUUCACCUAUGCCCACAUCCCAGGGUCAGAAAACCUGCAUCCAGGGGCCUUCUGUGUCUGUAAGGGGCGGUGGUGGGAAGAGAUCCUGCCUCCGGGCUGGCAGGAGAGAGAAACAAAGAGGCAGUGUUGGGGGCUCUGGCACAUAGUAGGUGUUUGGGAACCCCUGUGGCAGUUCAGGCAGAGCCAGCUCUGGUCCCAUCUGGACCUUGGAACAGCCGAGAUCAGUCUCCAGUCUUUGAGCCAAGGCCCACAGGGUGUGGGUGAUGGGUCCAAGGUUAUACCUGCCAUUAGGACUAGAGCAGAGGGUGUGAGACUCCUCCACCACGGCGGAGAGGUCCAGGGAAUGGGGCAGGGGCAUUCUGUCUGUGCGGGAUGACCACUGUCAGAGCCAUUAAGCCACAGAGCCUGGCCCCAAAGGGCCCCCAGGCAAACCCCCUCUCAGGGGUGUCCAGGACUGCUGUGGGGCCUGGCGUGUUAUUGCUGUCAUGGAAGUUCGAGGCCAUACCUGAGUAGGGGCAGUGGUCCUGCAGCCACCAGUGGGGGAUGUAACAGACUCUGUGGUCUGCCUCCAGGCACUGGCAUGUGGGGAGGGCAAAACGCACCAGCACCCCACCCAGACUACAAUCCAGGUGCUGGCUUCCCCCACACACACCUCCCCCACCCUCGCCCCACCCCGCCGCUGGGCCUUUGCAGAUGCUGUCCCUCUGUCUGCAGUGGCCUUCCCCUCCUCUCCUGGCAGGUGCUGGCUCAUCCUUUAAGACACCUCCAGGAAGCCCUACCUGACUCCCACCCCAAGGGCCAGGCUGACCCACCCUGCCAGGAUUUCCAUCUGGCUGCUCCACAAGAUGCAGAGAACCUUGAGGGCCUGGUCUGAGAUGCCAGUGGAGUGAACAGGGAAAGCAGCUGUAAGGUGCAGCCCAGUUCAGGCGACUGUCCCUGCAGCCCAGAGAAGAGACCAGGCUGGGGAGCCUUGAGGCCAGAUAGCUAGCCAAACAUGCCCAUUUCACAGAGGGAAUGUUGAAGGCCCGAGGUGCUUGGGACUGAUCCAGAGCACCCUGGGGAGUGGUUGGUAGUCCCUUUGUGGCUUGUAAGAGGAGAGCCCAGGGCUAUGUGGCCAUACCCCUCCCCCACUCUGGUCCCCAGCUGGAGCAUUUGUCUGCAGGAUCCAGGUCAGGUCUGAGGGGGAUGGGAAGUAGCCCAGGAGAGCAAAGUCCCCAGGGCUCAGGUCUGCACUCGGUCUUCCCAUGUGGAGAACAAAGCUCCUUAGAGAAAAUGCUUGCUGUCCAAAAGCUGGCAGGAAAUCCACAUCGAUAGCUCAUUCCAGCAAGAAGGUGCACGGGAAAAAAAGCGUGUGAGAACUUAGGCCAAAUGUUAGCCCCAGGGAUGGUGGGUGAUAUUACCCUUCUUUCGCCGUGAUUUUCACAUUUCCUAGGUUGUAGGUGAAACCUUUAUAACCAGAAAAAUGAAGUUACCAUGUAAAGGAGAGAGGUCUAAGAAAAGGUGCCCUGAGAACAGCCAGCUCCCCAUUCAUGAGACUCUGGGGUCACCAAGUGCCAGUGGCUUCCAGAGGGACCCUGCCCCCGGGCCCAUCCCCCAGAACAGGCGGGCCUGCAGACGGCUUAGCCUGUGUGUCUCUCUUUCUCGGAAUUUGGGUCAGAGAGAGUCCAGACCUGGGGCUACUGGGAUGUAGCACGCCCAGAAUUCCAUUCAAACCUCUGCUGUCCUUCCUGUCCUGUGGGUUAGGCCUCAGGGCCCUCGCCUUCCCACCUCCACCUGGAAAGCCACCCCACCCCACCCCACCCCACCCCAAGCUGCCCUCUGCCCCUCCCAGCCAGAGGUGGCCCUAGGGCUAUUUGCUUCACCUCCAUCCCGGGUGCCCAGGUGGGUGCGUAGCACUGUUGACUGCCUUCCUUACUGACUCCGGCCCCGAAGUGCCUUUCCAGGGGGUCUUCCUACAAUGUAGUCAGGUUCGACCUCGUGGAAAUGGUCUUUGGAAUCACAGCUGAGCCUUGAUCCUGGGUGAGGAUUCGAUCUCCAUCUCCCCCAUAUACCUAGUACAGAGCACCCAUUCAUUCGAUCAGCUGUUAUUCAGCCAAGUGCCAGGGCCCAGGCUAGGUGCCAGGGGCACAGAUCUGCUGACUUGAGGGUGUGACGUGUCUGUGUUUUUGAGCACGUGUUUUGUGCACAUCACCUGUACGCACACACAGCGUGAGCAUCUCUGUCAUACGUGAACUCAGGUCUUUGAGGCUGUGACAGUGUGUAAUCCUGCCGGGACUCCGGGCACACCUGGUUAAUUCAUUCUGCAAGUGUUGAACAGACACCCACUAAGGAAGUACCAGGCUCUGACCCCAAAGAAAAAUGACCCAAGGUCUCUGUCCUCGGGAAGUGCCGUCUUGGGGGCUGUCGCCAUGCGGACUGGUGGGGGCAGAAGCCAGCAGGGCUGGGGGUGGUCAGAAACGUGGUCCUGGAGACACAGGGAAGAGUGGGGAAGAGUGUUCCUGCCCAGCUGUGAGUAUGAUCUCCAGUAUCCCCUUCAGCCCAGUGACCUGGGGCCUGGGACAGGCCUCCCCAGCUAUUUUCAUGGCCUAAAGCAGCCCUGAGGGCCGACGGAACUGGAGCUUCAGGUGGUGACCUGUGGGCCCCGACUGCUGGGGGCUGGGAGAGAAUACAGGGAAUGAAAAUGAAGCAUGUGGGCUGGAGAACCUGCCUGGGCUGCAGACCUUUCUGAGAGGCGAACUUGGGGACCAGGCACCAGAACACAGCACCUGGAAAGUAGAACCCCGUGAUCCAGACCAGAGAAGCGGGAUCACGGAACUCAGAGGAGGAAGAUGGAGCAGCAGACCUAGAAUGUGGGCCUUCUAGAACCUGGAACACUCAAGUCAGCCAGAAGCUGGAAGAUCCAGUCUGUGCCCCCAAUGGUCAGUGGGGGAAACUGAGGUCCUGCAGGAACGGGGAGGUCUUGAGCAUUGGUGAGCUGCAGUGGCACGCACGUGGUCUCUGCUGAGCCAGGACCUCUCCACAGCUCGCUGCUGCCUGACCUGGGGCUAGUCCUGUCCCCUCUCCAAACCUCAGUUUCCCCCUCUGUGAAAUGGUCACGUGAUGGUGAGACCAGAUGGAGCACUUCACCUGGUGCUCAGGCUCUCCCGGCAAGCUUAGUGGCAUUGCUAAGGCCUGGACCCUGGCCACUUGACUCCUGAAUGACUCUGUCCCCUUGUGGUGAUGGUCUGGUCCCUGCUGUUCCUUUCUCUUCUUGCUCACACUCAGUGGGACAUUUGGGCACUUGCGGCCCUUUUCCGGAAUGCUCUCGGGAUCUAGCAGAGGGAAAAGACGAGUCAGAGGAGCAAGAACAGACUGGCGGCUCCAUAUGAAGGAGCAGGCCCUGGUGCCUACAGCCCUGCAUGGUGCCCUGUGCCAUUUGGUCAUGAUAUCGAAGUUCAUGAGUUUGAGCUCUGCGUCAGGCUCUGUGCUGACAGCUCAGAGCCUGGAGCCUGCUUCACAUUCCGUGUUUCCCUCUCUCUCUGCCCCUCCCCUGCUCACGCUCGGUCUCUCUCUCUCUC